Molecule: long non-coding RNA, 875 nt
Filed under: Nicotiana benthamiana
Lineage: Eukaryota; Viridiplantae; Streptophyta; Magnoliopsida; Solanales; Solanaceae
Description: long non-coding RNA (NBEN_LNC017886)
Source: RNAcentral
CCCCCCCAAAUUCUAGGGUUUUUGCCAUUAAUCCAGUGUAGAGACGAAAGCAGACAAAUCAGGCAAGAGUAAAUCCAGAAAAUCCAAAGGAACCUAAACGUUCCCGGAAAACAUAUUGAGAGAAAACACAGUAAAGGAAAUUACAAGGAAACAUUAGGAGGAAACAUAGUAGAAGAAAACACAUAGGAAUCACAGUAGAAACACAUAGGAGUUACAGUAGAGUGAAUACAGUAAGUGUAACACAUAGGAAUCACAGUAGAACAAGUAAAAUCAAAGAACCACUAGUCGAAGAAGAUGAACAGUUUUUGAAAGCAAUAUUUUAAAAAGAAACUUGGAGGAAUCGUUUGAAAUGAACACAGUAAGUGAACACAUAGGAAUCAGAGUAGAACAAAUAAAAUCAAAGAACCCUAAGUUGAAGAAGAUGAACAGUUUUUGAAAGCUAAGUUUUAAAAAGAAACUUGGAGAAAUCGUUUGAAAACCUUAAAAUAAACACGAAUCUAGAGCAGAUCUAGAGAAAUUAGGAAAACCUCGAAAUGGCUAGGGUUCAGAAGAACCCUAGAAGCGACAAAGACCUGUAUAAGGGUCUGUUCCGAGUCGAAUGAUUCAGAGAUGGACUCAUAGGGCUAGGAUAUGCCAGAGCCGAGCCGGAGAUGGUCGUAAAACGUGAAUCGGCAGGGAUCUGAGCAAAGUCCUUCAAGCUCGGACCUUGAAUCUUCAAGUAACAUGGGCAUGAGGGCACAUGGGGGUGAGUAUAGGCCACUAGGGCUUGGGAUGCCAUUUAUUCCGGUUGAGACAAGGUGGAAACCAGCGGGAUGAGGCUAGGGAUUCGGAGAGGGUUAGAGAGGAAUUAGGAGACGAAGGGGUUUUAGGGCAGC